GCACUGAUGAGAAGUCCCAUAAUAGGACGAAACAGCUGUCAAGUGC
This is a non-coding RNA of Schistosoma haematobium, 46 nucleotides long. The record is from Rfam. Lineage: Eukaryota; Metazoa; Platyhelminthes; Trematoda; Strigeidida; Schistosomatidae.